Molecule: long non-coding RNA, 730 nt
Filed under: Marmota monax (woodchuck)
Lineage: Eukaryota; Metazoa; Chordata; Mammalia; Rodentia; Sciuridae
Source: RNAcentral
GAGAGGAAGUACUGGGGAAUGAAAUGGAGCAAAUUAUAUUUCGUGAAUGUAUGAUUAUGUCAAAAUGAAUCCUAAUAUAAUGUAUAACUCUAAUGCACUAAUAAAAACAUUUUUAAAAAGAAAUAGUUCAAGCAGAAAGGGUUAAAUUAUUAUAAAUUCAGUCAUCUUGAAAAUGUAUGCAAUGCUAAAUUCUAAGACAGUUCUACAUAAAUAAUGAAGAAACAGUGGCAUAUCAUAGUUUAAAAGGUAGACACAGGUGCUGGUCUGCCUGGACAAAUCCCAGUCAUCUCACUCACAAUCUGUGCGACCCUGGGCAACUCAAUCUCUCUGAUCCUCAGUAUGAGAUUGACAAAUGCAUUUUUUCUUAUUGUAUGUUUUAAAAAAGAUUAAUAAAUGAUCUGUGAUACCUGCAAUAGAAAAAAAUUGUCAGAUAUUGAUCUUAUUAAAGUGCUUAUGUUUUCAACACUUUUUCCUUCAAAAGUAGCAUUGAGUCUCUUAGGUUUGACAAAUUAAGGAGUUUUGAAAAAAUUGCCACUCUGAUUCUGAAUUGAGUGUUCCUGGGUGUUUAUGGAGAGAGACUGGGGCAGGAAAGAGCUCAAUAAAACUGGUGGUUUUGAUGUGUUAUUUUGAGAUUGUCUUAUUCUAACUGACUGGGAAGCAAAAUUGGGUAGAGGCAAAACACCCCAACAGAGUUUUGAGGGGGUCCUUGACAGAGAGAGCAGGCAGUGAG